This 253-nucleotide ribosomal RNA is filed under the name uncultured bacterium. RNAcentral's name for it is "partial 16S ribosomal RNA". It matches the Rfam family "Bacterial small subunit ribosomal RNA", at positions 524 to 776 of the family's 1533-position model. The record is from RNAcentral.
UACUGGGGGAGCAAGCGUUGUUCGGAUUUACUGGGCGUAAAGGGCGCGUAGGCGGCGCAACAAGUCACUUGUGAAAUCUCCGGGCUUAACCCGGAGCGGCCAAGUGAUACUGUCGUGCUAGAGUGCGGAAGGGGCUACUGGAAUUCUCGGUGUAGCGGUGAAAUGCGUAGAUAUCGAGAGGAACAUCUGCGGCGAAGGCGGGUAGCUGGGCCGACACUGACGCUGAGGCGCGAAAGCCAGGGGAGCGAACGGG